Molecule: ribosomal RNA, 236 nt
Filed under: uncultured bacterium
Lineage: Bacteria
Description: partial 16S ribosomal RNA
Rfam family: Bacterial small subunit ribosomal RNA
Source: RNAcentral
AACACGUGGAUAAUCUACCCGACAGUCAGGGAUAACAUUUCGAAAGGAAUGCUAAUACCUGAUAAGCCUACGCCCUCUUCGGAGGAAGUAGGAGAAGGUGGGGACCUUCGGGCCUGCCGUUGUUGGAUGAGUCCGCGGCCCAUUAGCUAGUUGGUAGGGUAAUGGCCUACCAAGGCUACGAUGGGUAGCUGGUCUGAGAGGAUGAUCAGCCACACUGGAACUGAGACACGGUCCAG